GGGGCUGAUCAGCUUCGACGUUCGGACAUUCACACGCAUAUGGUGCAGACCGGAGGCAAACGUUAGCUUCCAAGUUGCAAAUCAAAUCGCAACGCUUUUUCGCGGGUGAUGGACGCUUUCCGCGCUCCUUCAUUCGCACCCGCUUUUGCCUAAUAAGCAUUAGCCAUCACGACCUGACGCCAGAUGGGGGUUCCGUGGUGUCACUUUAUCUGGUUGCUCUAGCUGGCGUGCCGACACCAGUUAGCUAAGAUUUUCGGCUGCUCGCUUGUGGGGUUUUGUCCAUUCACACCCGCUGCGCUAAGACCUUUAAAUGGACUAUGUCUGUAGUGCCUAUGCCUGUGACCGGGCGGACCGGGGUGCAAUUCCCCGCAGCUCCACCA
This 380-nucleotide transfer-messenger RNA is filed under the name Patescibacteria group. RNAcentral's name for it is "GCA-016699105 sp016699105 Standard tmRNA". It matches the Rfam family "transfer-messenger RNA". Rfam says of the family: Bacterial tmRNA, also known as 10Sa RNA or SsrA, is named for its dual tRNA and mRNA-like properties. Its role is to liberate the mRNA from a stalled ribosome. The record is from RNAcentral. RNAcentral also lists the same sequence under 1 other name.